RNAcentral lists this ribosomal RNA (380 nucleotides) under uncultured organism. Its description in RNAcentral is "bacterial SSU rRNA". It matches the Rfam family "Bacterial small subunit ribosomal RNA", at positions 367 to 762 of the family's 1533-position model. The record is from RNAcentral.
CGCAAUGGGCGAAAGCCUGACGGAGCGACGCCGCGUGAUUGAUGAAGCUCUUCGGAGUGUAAGGUCUUUUAUGAGGGAAGAAAUUUUUGACGGUACCUCAGGAAUAAGGGGCUCCUAAUCUCGUGCCAGCAGGAGCGGUAAUACGAGAGCCCCAAGCGUUAUCCGGAAUCACUGGGCGUAAAGGGUGCGUAGGUUGUUAUGUUAGUCUUUCGUCAAAUCUCCGAGCUUAACUUGGAAACUGCGAAAGAAACGGCAUAACUAGAGAAUGUGAGAGGUGAACGGAACUCAUGGUGUAGGGGUGAAAUCCGUUGAUAUCAUGGGGAACACCAAAAGCGAAGGCAGUUCACUGGCACAUAUCUGACGCUCAAGCACGAAAGCGU